RNAcentral lists this unclassified non-coding RNA (196 nucleotides) under soil metagenome. RNAcentral's name for it is "partial internal transcribed spacer 1". The record is from RNAcentral.
AUGAAUUUAUUGACAGGGUUGUCGCUGGCCUUUACCGGCAUGUGCACGCCUUGCUUCAAUUCAUCCAAUCUACACCUCUGUGCACUCUUCAUAGGUUGGCUUUCCUCUGGGAUUACCCAUGGCCUUCUAUGCAUUUUAUAUCACAAACUUGUAUAGUCCAGAAUGUCUUUAUAAUCGCGUGUAACGCAUAUAAAUA